UAACCUGGUGUGGGUCCCGCCUC
RNAcentral lists this non-coding RNA (23 nucleotides) under Arabidopsis thaliana (thale cress). The record is from RNAcentral. Lineage: Eukaryota; Viridiplantae; Streptophyta; Magnoliopsida; Brassicales; Brassicaceae.